CCUACGGGUGGCUGCAGUGGGGGAUAUUGCACAAUGGGGGGAACCCUGAUGCAGCGACGCCGCGUGGGUGAAGGAGCGUUUCGGCGCGUAAAGCCCUAUCGGCAGGGAAGAAGAUGACGGUACCUGACCAAGAAGCCCCGGCUAACUACGUGCCAGCAGCCGCGGUAAUACGUAGGGGGCAAGCGUUAUCCGGAUUUACUGGGUGUAAAGGGGGCGCAGACGGCAAUGCAAGCCAGGAGUGAAAGCCCGGGGCCCAACCCCGGGACUGCUCUUGGAACUGCAUGGCUGGAGUACAGGAGGGGCAGGCGGAAUUCCUAGUGUAGCGGUGAAAUGCGUAGAUAUUUGGAAGAACACCGAUGGCGAAGGCAGCCCCCUGGGACGCAACUGACGCUCAUACACGAAAGCGUGGGGAGCAAACAGGAUUAGAUACCCGGGUAGUC
Molecule: ribosomal RNA, 440 nt
Filed under: uncultured bacterium
Lineage: Bacteria
Description: partial 16S ribosomal RNA
Rfam family: Bacterial small subunit ribosomal RNA
Source: RNAcentral